CCCUACGGGGGGCAGCAGUGAGGAAUAUUGGUCAAUGGGCGAGAGCCUGAACCAGCCAUCCCGCGUGCAGGAAGACGGCCCUAUGGGUUGUAAACUGCUUUUUUAUGGGAAGAAAAAGCCCUACGUGUAGGGCACUGACGGUACCAUAUGAAUAAGCAUCGGCUAACUCCGUGCCAGCAGCCGCGGUAAUACGGAGGAUGCGAGCGUUAUCCGGAUUUAUUAGGUUUAAAGGGUGUGUAGGCGGGUUAUUAAGUCAGUGGUGAAAUCUCAGAGCUUAACUCUGAAACUGCCAUUGAUACUGGUAAUCUUGAGUACAGUUGAAGUAGGCGGAAUGUGUAAUGUAGCGGUGAAAUGCUUAGAUAUUACACAGAACACCGAUUGCGAAGGCAGCUUACUAAGCUGUUACUGACGCUGAUGCACGAAAGCGUGGGGAGCGAACAGGAUUAGAUACCCCGGUAGUCC
RNAcentral lists this ribosomal RNA (462 nucleotides) under uncultured bacterium. RNAcentral describes it as "bacterial SSU rRNA". It matches the Rfam family "Bacterial small subunit ribosomal RNA", at positions 337 to 796 of the family's 1533-position model. The record is from RNAcentral.